AGCCUUGCUCCACUGCGUCGUCCUCCCAGACGCUAGGCCUCCCCGUCGGCCGGCUCGGGUGCGACGCUACACUGAGGACCAUGACUUCUCGCGACUGACCACCGGCAAGAGGCGCAGUUCAAAUCACUCGACCAUUUCUUCGCAACGCGGCGGCCAACGCAGCAAUUGGAACGCCAUCGCCCGUAUGACAAAAUGCCUAGGCAUCCACAUCGUUGCCGCGUUGCCAAGGACGUCGGUGGAAGCGCCCUGUGUCCACCCGUUGUGGGAGUCAGUCGCGUGCUGCGCAGAUGCUCCGUUACCGGCUCGUCAGCGAUGGUUGUGGCUGCCCCUGUUGUGACUGAUGGCGGAGAAGGACCAAGUGUGUCCGCAGUGACAAUCGCAGUGGCAAUUAGUGGCGUGCGCGGAGUCACCUUCUCUGCUCACUAGUGACGCCGCAGUCAUCGGCCCGUUCUCCGCGGUCCAGAGGAAGUCACUGUGCGGUUUUGGAAGUUCCUACAUCGUAUCCCACUUAAUGAACUUCAAGGGCGGCGCACCUGAGGGACACUGACGUUGCUGCCUUUGUACGGAUUGUAUACGUCGGUGCAAGUGGACGGCGUUCACCCGUCGUGGCAAGUCAGUCGCGUGCUGUGAAGUUGCGCCGUCAUUUGCUUGUCAGCGAAGGUUGCAGUCAUCGGCGCACCCCUGGUGACGCUGAGAUGGAGAUGGAUUUGGUGCGCCCGUUUGUGGCAAUCGGUGGCGUGCCGCGGCGUCACCUUCUCUGCUUACUAGUGGCGCCGCAGUCAUCGGCCCGUUCUCCGUGGACCAGGGGUGCCGAGUUCGUGCAUCUGCUGUGACAAUCGGUUGUGUGUUGCGCUGCAACGUUUGCCUCAGCCGACGCAUUCUCCUUUUGUCUCGCAGCUAUCGGUACUGGCGCCGUAACUGAGGGGCACCAACGUUGCUGCCUUCGUACGGAUUGUAUACGUCGGUGCAAGCGGGCGACGUUCACCCGCCGUGGCCGUCAGUCGCGUGCUGUGAAGUUGCGCCGUCAUUUGCUCGUCAGCGAAGGUUGCAGUCCAGCAGCAGCUGGAGGUGGUGAUACUUCAACUGCUGCAGUGAAGCAGCUGAGUGAUGAGCGAAACUUCCUAAAGUCUCAGCUGCCGACUAUGGAGGAUCGAAUCAAGGCGGCCUACCUGAGGGACACUGACGUUGCUGCCUUUGUACGGAUUGUAUACGUCGGUGCAAGCGGGCGACGUUCACCCGUCGUGGCAAGUCAGUCGCGUGCGGUGAAGUAGCACAGUCAUUUGCUCGUCAGCGAAGGUUGCAGUCACCGGCACAGCCCUGGUGACACUAAAGUUAAUCCACGUACGGAGAUGGACACAGCACUCCACGGCUGUCGCAAUCGGUCACGUGCGUGCCGCCAUCACAUGGUCGCUCGGUGUGUUUCUGCUUCCCGGUUGUCACCACUAUUGAACGGAGCAUCGAUCGUGAGGCAAAUACAGUCGUUCUUGAGGAGUGUGCGUUCUGGAAGUGGUGCAUAGAUGGUACCUUCCCUGCAUCCAGAUAUGGUUUUUGCUCAGUGGUGCACAGUCUGCGUUCAGUUUGUAAAGCGCGGCCUCCUGCGGCAUCCAACGUCGGGGCGGACGCUUUCAUUUCUUAUUCCCGACGACAGGAGCAUUGACCAAGGGAGAGAUAAUCCCAGACAAUUAGGGCCAAGGAGAUCAAUACCCAUGGUGAGGACAUUGCGGGAACGUUUGCUUUAACUUGCCCGUUUGCAUGCAAAGUUGAGGAUUGUAUAGUAUACGAGUCCAAAAUCGCUUGUGUGGUGAGGGUGAGUGUCAUCCAGCAACAG
Dermacentor silvarum is the source of this 1828-nucleotide long non-coding RNA. RefSeq lists it as uncharacterized. The transcript has 12 exons. The record is from RefSeq and is a predicted model, not a curated record. NCBI's taxonomy places the organism in Eukaryota, Metazoa, Arthropoda, Arachnida, Ixodida, Ixodidae.